AACUUUUAACAAUGGAUCUCUAGGCUCUCAUAUCGAUGAAGAACACAGUGAAAUGUGAUAAGUAAUGUGAAUUGCAGAAUUCAGUGAAUCAUUGAAUCUUUGAACGCAACCUUGCACCUUUUGGUAUUCCAAAAGGUACACCUGUUUGAGUGUCAUGAAAAUCUCUCAUCAAAUUUAUUUUUGGUGGAUGUUGA
Molecule: ribosomal RNA, 194 nt
Filed under: Uromyces viciae-fabae
Lineage: Eukaryota; Fungi; Basidiomycota; Pucciniomycetes; Pucciniales; Pucciniaceae
Description: 5.8S rRNA
Rfam family: 5.8S ribosomal RNA (bases 1-155)
About the family: 5.8S ribosomal RNA (5.8S rRNA) is a component of the large subunit of the eukaryotic ribosome. It is transcribed by RNA polymerase I as part of the 45S precursor that also contains 18S and 28S rRNA.
Source: RNAcentral